AGCGAACGCUGGCGGCAGGCCUAACACAUGCAAGUCGAACGAACCUUUCGGGGUUAGUGGCGGACGGGUGAGUAACACGUGGGAACGUGCCUUUAGGUUCGGAAUAACUCAGGGAAACUUGUGCUAAUACCGAAUGUGCCCUUCGGGGGAAAGAUUAAUCGCCUUUAGAGCGGCCCGCGUCUGAUUAGCUAGUUGGUUGAGGUAAUGGCUCACCAAGGCGACGAUCAGUAGCUGGUCUGAGAGGAUGAUCAGCCACAUUGGGACUGAGACACGGCCCAAACUCCUACGGGAGGCAGCAGUGGGGAAUCUGGCGCAAUGGGCGAAAGCCUGACGCAGCCAUGCCGCGGGAAUGAUGAAGGUCUUAGGAUGGUAAAAUUCUUUCACCGGGGACGAUAAUGACGGUACCCGGAGAAGAAGCCCCGGCUAACUGCGU
Molecule: ribosomal RNA, 433 nt
Filed under: uncultured bacterium
Lineage: Bacteria
Description: partial 16S ribosomal RNA
Rfam family: Bacterial small subunit ribosomal RNA
Source: RNAcentral